This 1000-nucleotide ribosomal RNA is filed under the name Priestia flexa. RNAcentral's name for it is "bacterial SSU rRNA". It matches the Rfam family "Bacterial small subunit ribosomal RNA", at positions 57 to 1054 of the family's 1533-position model. Lineage: Bacteria; Bacillati; Bacillota; Bacilli; Caryophanales; Bacillaceae. The record is from RNAcentral.
GCAAGUCGAGCGGACAGAUGGGAGCUUGCUCCCUGAUGUUAGCGGCGGACGGGUGAGUAACACGUGGGUAACCUGCCUGUAAGACUGGGAUAACUCCGGGAAACCGGGGCUAAUACCGGAUGGUUGUUUGAACCGCAUGGUUCAAACAUAAAAGGUGGCUUCGGCUACCACUUACAGAUGGACCCGCGGCGCAUUAGCUAGUUGGUGAGGUAACGGCUCACCAAGGCAACGAUGCGUAGCCGACCUGAGAGGGUGAUCGGCCACACUGGGACUGAGACACGGCCCAGACUCCUACGGGAGGCAGCAGUAGGGAAUCUUCCGCAAUGGACGAAAGUCUGACGGAGCAACGCCGCGUGAGUGAUGAAGGUUUUCGGAUCGUAAAGCUCUGUUGUUAGGGAAGAACAAGUACCGUUCGAAUAGGGCGGUACCUUGACGGUACCUAACCAGAAAGCCACGGCUAACUACGUGCCAGCAGCCGCGGUAAUACGUAGGUGGCAAGCGUUGUCCGGAAUUAUUGGGCGUAAAGGGCUCGCAGGCGGUUUCUUAAGUCUGAUGUGAAAGCCCCCGGCUCAACCGGGGAGGGUCAUUGGAAACUGGGGAACUUGAGUGCAGAAGAGGAGAGUGGAAUUCCACGUGUAGCGGUGAAAUGCGUAGAGAUGUGGAGGAACACCAGUGGCGAAGGCGACUCUCUGGUCUGUAACUGACGCUGAGGAGCGAAAGCGUGGGGAGCGAACAGGAUUAGAUACCCUGGGUAGUCCACGCCGUAAACGAUGAGUGCUAAGUGUUAGGGGGUUUCCGCCCCUUAGUGCUGCAGCUAACGCAUUAAGCACUCCGCCUGCGGAGUACGGUCGCAGGACUGAAACUCAAGGAAUUGACGGGGCCCGCACAAGCGUGGAGCAUGUGGUUUAAUUCAAAGCAACGCUAGACAUACCAGUCUGGCAUGCUCUGACAUCUAGAGAUAGACGUCGCAUCCGCAGAGUGACAGUGAUGCAAGGUGUCG